CCCUUAGAUGUCCUGGGCCGCACGCGCGUUACACUGAUGCAUUCAACGAGCUUAUAACCUUGGCCGAGAGGCCUGGGCAAUCUUGUUAACGUGCAUCGUGAUAGGGAUAGAUUAUUGAAAUUAUUAAUCUUGAACGAGGAAUUCCUAGUAAACGCAGAUCAUCAAUCUGCAUUGAUUACGUCCCUGCCCUUUGUACACACCGCCCGGCGCACCUACCGAUUGGAUGGUCCGGUGAAGCCUCGGGAUUGUGGUUCUUGCCGCUUUAUUGUGGCGUGACCGCGAGAACUUGUCUAAACCUUAUCAUCUAGAGGAAGGUGAAGUCGUAACA
RNAcentral lists this ribosomal RNA (328 nucleotides) under uncultured eukaryote. RNAcentral's name for it is "partial 18S ribosomal RNA". It matches the Rfam family "Eukaryotic small subunit ribosomal RNA", at positions 1470 to 1796 of the family's 1831-position model. The record is from RNAcentral.